GAGGGUGUAGCUCAGUGGUAGAGUACAUGCAUAGCAUGCAUGAGGUCCUGGGUUCAAUUCCCAGUACCUCUG
RNAcentral lists this transfer RNA (72 nucleotides) under Camelus bactrianus (Bactrian camel). It matches the Rfam family "tRNA". From Rfam's summary of the family: Transfer RNA (tRNA) molecules are approximately 80 nucleotides in length. Their secondary structure includes four short double-helical elements and three loops (D, anti-codon, and T loops). RNAcentral also lists the same sequence under 1 other name. Lineage: Eukaryota; Metazoa; Chordata; Mammalia; Artiodactyla; Camelidae. The record is from Rfam by way of RNAcentral.